RNAcentral lists this ribosomal RNA (469 nucleotides) under uncultured Clostridiaceae bacterium. Its description in RNAcentral is "bacterial SSU rRNA". It matches the Rfam family "Bacterial small subunit ribosomal RNA", at positions 8 to 503 of the family's 1533-position model. The record is from RNAcentral. Lineage: Bacteria; Bacillati; Bacillota; Clostridia; Eubacteriales; Clostridiaceae.
AGAGUUUGAUCAUGGCUCAGGAUGAACGCUGGCGGCGUGCCUAACACAUGCAAGUCGCACGGGGGGAGCAAUCCUUCAGUGGCGCACGGGUGAGGAACACGUAGCUGACCUGCCCCGAAGAGCGGGAUAACGGUUCGAAAGGACUGCUAAUACCGCAUAAGCUCACAUUGAUUAAAUAGGUGUGAGAAAAGGCGUAAGCCGUUUCGGGAGGGGGCUGCGACCCAUCAGGUAGUUGGUAAGGUAACGGCUCACCAAGCCGACGACGGGUAACGGGUCUGAGAGGAUGAUCCGUCACACUGGGACUGAGACACGGCCCAGACUCCUACGGGAGGCAGCAGUGAGGAAUAUUGCACAAUGGGCGCAAGCCUGAUGCAGCGACGCCGCGUGGGUGAUGAAGGCUUUCGGGUCGUAAAACCCUUUUCUGUGUGACGAGCAAGGACGGUAGCACAGGAAUAGCUCCGGCCUUUCC